AUGCUGUGACUGAAACCAACCCACCUGGAGCUCAAGCUCGGCAACAUUGAGGAGUUUGAGAGCAUUCGGAAGGACCUGGAGGCCCAUAAGAAGCAGAAGGAAAAUGUGGAAGCUGUAGGCACCAGCGAUGGAGAAGGAGCUGCUGGGCUCAGCAGUAACCCCAAAAGCUGGGAACAAAUGAUUAAUGAUAGAAUUGGUUAUAAACCCCAACUCAAGAGCAACAACCGCACAUCUCAGUUUGGAAACUUUGAAUUUUAG
Molecule: long non-coding RNA, 258 nt
Filed under: Mus musculus (house mouse)
Lineage: Eukaryota; Metazoa; Chordata; Mammalia; Rodentia; Muridae
Description: long non-coding RNA chr4:93802332-93802590
Source: RNAcentral